CAGUCGAGGGGUAAGGUUCUCUUCGGAGGAUACACGACCGGCGCACGGGUGAGUAACGCGUAUGUAACCUGCCUUUAACACGAGGAUAGCUUCCGGAAACGGAAAUUAAUACUUGAUAACAUUAUUAAGUGGCAUCACUAAAUAAUCAAAGUUCCGAUGGUUAAAGAUGGGCAUGCGUGACAUUAGGUAGUUGGUGGGGUAAAGGCCUACCAAGCCGACGAUGUCUAGGGGGUCUGAGAGGAUGAUCCCCCACACUGGUACUGAGACACGGACCAGACUCCUACGGGAGGCAGCAGUGGGGAAUCUUGCGCAAUGGACGAAAGUCUGACGCAGCCAUCCCGCGUGCAGGAUUGACAGCCCUAUGGGUUGUAAACUGCUUUUCUGGAAGAAGAAAGUUAGCUAUUCGUUAGUUAAUUGCCGGUACUCCAGGAAUAAGCAUCGGCUAACUCCGUGCCAGCAGCCGCGGUAAUACGGAGGAUGCAAGCGUUAUCCGGAAUCACUGGGUUUAAAGGGUGCGCAGGCGGAAUAGCAAGUCAGAGGUGAAAGACUACAGCUCAACUGUGGAAUUGCCUUUGAUACUGUUAUUCUUGAGUGUAGUUGAAGUGGGCGGAAUAUAGCAUGUAGCGGUGAAAUGCAUAGAUAUGCUAUAGAACACCAAUUGCGAAGGCAGCUCGCUAAACUAUAACUGACGCUGAGGCACGAAAGCGUGGGGAGCGAACAGGAUUAGAUACCCUGGGUAGUCCACGCCGUAAACGAUGAACACUCGCUGUUGGCGAUACA
Molecule: ribosomal RNA, 780 nt
Filed under: uncultured bacterium
Lineage: Bacteria
Description: bacterial SSU rRNA
Rfam family: Bacterial small subunit ribosomal RNA
Source: RNAcentral